GGCUCAGAUUGAACGCUGGCGGCAUGCCCUACACAUGCAAGUCGAACGGCAGCACGGGUGCUUGCACCUGGUGGCGAGUGGCGAACGGGUGAGUAAUAUAUCGGAACGUACCUUAUCGUGGGGGAUAACGCAGCGAAAGCUGCGCUAAUACCGCAUACGCCCUGAGGGGGAAAGCGGGGGACCGUAAGGCCUCGCGCGAUUAGAGCGGCCGAUAUCUGAUUAGCUUGUUGGUGGGGUAAAAGCCCACCAAGGCGACGAUCAGUAGCUGGUCUGAGAGGACGACCAGCCACACUGGAACUGAGACACGGUCCAGACUCCUACGGGAGGCAGCAGUGGGGAAUUUUGGACAAUGGACGCAAGUCUGAUCCAGCCAUUCCGCGUGCAGGAUGAAGGCCCUCGGGUUGUAAACUGCUUUUGUACGGAACGAAAAGGUUUCUAUUAAUACUAGGAGCUCAUGACGGUACCGUAAGAAUAAGCACCGGCUAACUACGUG
RNAcentral lists this ribosomal RNA (493 nucleotides) under uncultured bacterium. RNAcentral's name for it is "bacterial SSU rRNA". It matches the Rfam family "Bacterial small subunit ribosomal RNA", at positions 21 to 507 of the family's 1533-position model. The record is from RNAcentral.